RNAcentral lists this ribosomal RNA (495 nucleotides) under uncultured bacterium. RNAcentral's name for it is "partial 16S ribosomal RNA". It matches the Rfam family "Bacterial small subunit ribosomal RNA", at positions 28 to 507 of the family's 1533-position model. The record is from RNAcentral.
GACGAACGCUGGCGGCGUGCCUAAUACAUGCAAGUAGAACGCUGGAGGGGGAGCUUGCUUCUCUGGAUGAGUUGCGAACGGGUGAGUAACGCGUAGGUAACCUGCCUGGUAGCGGGGGGUAACUAUUGGAAACGCUAGAUAAUACCGCAUAAUAGUAUAUGUUGCAUGACAUUUGAUAAAAAGGUACAAUUGCAUCGCUACCAGAUGGACGUGCGUUGUAUUAGCUAGUUGGUGGGGUAACGGCUCACCAAGGCGACGAUACAUAGCCGACCUGCGGGGGGGAUCGGCCACACUGGGACUGAGACACGGCCCAGACUCCUACGGGAGGCAGCAGUAGGGAAUCUUCGGCAAUGGACGGAAGUCUGACCGAGCAACGCCGCGUGAGGGAAGAAGGUUUUCGGAUCGUAAAGCUCUGUUGUAAGAGAAGAACGAGUGUGAGAGUGGAAAGUUCACACUGUGACGGUAUCUUACCAGAAAGGGACGGCUAACUACGUG